This 806-nucleotide ribosomal RNA is filed under the name uncultured organism. Its description in RNAcentral is "bacterial SSU rRNA". It matches the Rfam family "Bacterial small subunit ribosomal RNA", at positions 12 to 821 of the family's 1533-position model. The record is from RNAcentral.
UUUGAUCUUGGCUCCGGAUGAACGCUGGCGGCGUGCCUAACACAUGCAAGUCGAACGAAGCACCUUUUGAGAUUCUUCGGAUGAUUGAUCGGUGACUGAGUGGCGGACGGGUGAGUAACGCGUGGGUAACCUGCCCUGUACAGGGGGAUAACAGCUGGAAACGGCUGCUAAUACCGCAUAAGCGCACGAGGAGACAUCUCCUUGUGUGAAAAACUCCGGUGGUACAGGAUGGGCCCGCGUCUGAUUAGCUGGUUGGCAGGGUAACGGCCUACCAAGGCAACGAUCAGUAGCCGGUCUGAGAGGAUGAACGGCCACAUUGGAACUGAGACACGGUCCAAACUCCUACGGGAGGCAGCAGUGGGGAAUAUUGCACAAUGGGGAAACCCUGAUGCAGCAACGCCGCGUGAGUGAAGAAGUAUUUCGGUAUGUAAAGCUCUAUCAGCAGGGAAGAUAAUGACGGUACCUGACUAAGAAGCUCCGGCUAAAUACGUGCCAGCAGCCGCGGUAAUACGUAUGGAGCAAGCGUUAUCCGGAUUUACUGGGUGUAAAGGGUGCGUAGGUGGCAGUGCAAGUCAGAUGUGAAAGGCCGGGGCUCAACCCCGGAGCUGCAUUUGAAACUGCAUAGCUAGAGUACAGGAGAGGCAGGCGGAAUUCCUAGUGUAGCGGUGAAAUGCGUAGAUAUUAGGAGGAACACCAGUGGCGAAGGCGGCCUGCUGGACUGUUACUGACACUGAGGCACGAAAGCGUGGGGAGCAAACAGGAUUAGAUACCCUGGUAGUCCACGCCGUAAACGAUGAAUAAUAGGU